GCGGAGGAAAAGAAACCAACAGGGAUUGCCCUAGUAACGGCGAGUGAAGCGGCAACAGCUCAAAUUUGAAAUCUGGCGUCUUUGGCGUCCGAGUUGUAAUUUGCAGAGGGCGCUUUGGCAUUGGCAGCGGUCCAAGUUCCUUGGAACAGGACGUCACAGAGGGUGAGAAUCCCGUACGUGGUCGCUAGCCUUUACCGUGUAAAGCCCCUUCGACGAGUCGAGUUGUUUGGGAAUGCAGCUCUAAAUGGGAGGUAAAUUUCUUCUAAAGCUAAAUACUGGCCAGAGACCGAUAGCGCACAAGUAGAGUGAUCGAAAGAUGAAAAGCACUUUGGAAAGAGAGUUAAAAAGCACGUGAAAUUGUUGAAAGGGAAGCGCUUGCAGCCAGACUUGCCUGUAGUUGCUCAUCCGGGUUUUUACCCGGUGCACUCUUCUGCGGGCAGGCAGCAUCAGUUUGGGCGGUUGGAUAAAGGUCUCUGUCAUGUACCUCUCUUCGGGGAGGCCUUAUAGGGGAGGCGCAAUGCAACCAGCCCGGACUGAGGUCCGCGCAUCUGCUAGGAUGCUGGCGUAAUGGCUGUAAGCGGCCCGUCUUGAAACACGGACCAAGGAGUCUAACAUCUAUGCGAGUGUUUGGGUGUCAAGCCCGAACGCGUAAUGAAAGUGAACGGAGGUGGGAACCUUUCGGGGUGCACCAUCGACCGAUCCUGAUGUCUUCGGAUGGAUUUGAGUAAGAGCAUAGCUGUUGGGACCCGAAAGAUGGUGAACUAUGCUUGAAUAGGGUGAAGCCAGAGGAAACUCUGGUGGAGGCUCGCAGCGGUUCUGACGUGCAAAUCGAUCGUCAAAUUUGGGCAUAGGGGCGAAAGA
Molecule: unclassified non-coding RNA, 861 nt
Filed under: Dimorphoma saxea
Lineage: Eukaryota; Fungi; Ascomycota; Dothideomycetes; Pleosporales; Didymellaceae
Description: sequence contains 28S rRNA gene
Rfam family: Eukaryotic large subunit ribosomal RNA
Source: RNAcentral